RNAcentral lists this ribosomal RNA (1377 nucleotides) under Triticum aestivum (bread wheat). RNAcentral's name for it is "partial small subunit ribosomal RNA". The record is from RNAcentral. Lineage: Eukaryota; Viridiplantae; Streptophyta; Magnoliopsida; Poales; Poaceae.
AUGCAUGGUGAAACCCCAACAGCCAGCCUCUCUUCCCCUUUCUGCAUGCAAAAAGAAUCUGGCUCCUCUCUCUCUCCGCAAGCAGAGCUCCGCUCCAGCACGCCACCGAGCUCGCCGCCUGUCCGCCCCCCUCCCCGCCAGCCUCCACCGCGCCACAGACCUCGCUGCGUCCCCGGCCGGAUCCCGCAGGCACUCCCCCUGCUGGUCGCAGCCACCUCCUCGCCGCGCGCCGGCCGGCCUCUGCAUCCUCACCGCGGGCACAUUAGUGUACCAGUACAGGGGCACGGCGGUGCAGCGUGGGGCGUCGUCGCGGUGGCGGGGCGAGGAGUCGACCGAGUAGCCGCCGCUGCAGACCUCGACCUCCUUGGCGUCGGAGGACUCGUCCAUGUCGAAAGCCUCGUCCAUGUCGGAGGCCAUGGAGGUGCUCCCGUCAGUGGUGGGGCGCAACGGCACGGACGCGCGCGGCAGGUGCCGAGGCCGAGGCCGACGCCGCCCGCGCGUGGCCGGGCGGAGGAGGAGCGCGCGUGGCCGGGGCGGAGGAGGUGGCGCGCGUGGCGAGCUCCGCCGCGGGGUCCGCCGGCAGGUGCAGGAUGCGCGCCGUCGUCGAGUCCCUGGAUAGGCCGGGCUUGGCCGGGUGCGGCACACCGGCGCGCAUCCGCGGCCGUGCGCGCGCUCCAGGACAUGCUCCAAGGUGCAGACGAGCCUGUGCGCGCGCUCCAGGACGUGCUCCAGGGAGACCGCGUGGGUGGGCGGGCGCGGUGCAGACGCGACCGUGGCAAGGUAGCGGACGGGACGACCUCCUGGAGCGCGCGGCGGCCGGGCGGAGCGCGCGACGGCCGGGACGACGACGUCCGCGACCGCUGCGCCCGGCGCGCCUGCGAGACUUGCGGCACCCCGCGGCCGCCCGCACUGCUGCCGCUGCUCAUCCCCAGCCGGCGCUUCGGACGCCAUGGCCGGAGCUCCGCUCCUGCGCGCGGUCGCGCGCCCCUGGCCGUGUCCCCGCGAGCACUUGCGAGCUGCUGCUGCCUCCUACGCGCCCCGCCUCGCCUCUGGCCGCGGCCCUGCCUACUGCUUGCGCCGCCGCUGCUGCUGCCUCUUCCUGCGCGCCCCGCCUCGCCUCUGGCCGCGCCCCCUGUCCACUUGGCCGCCUUGGCGCCGUCGGCGACCUCCUUGGCGACGCUCGCGCUCCUCCGCUGGCUGGAGGUCGUCGACGCCGCCACGGUCAAGGUGCUCGAUGAAAUGCCGCUCCGUUUGUGGGAGUCCAACACUGCUCAUAGCGAGGCAACAAGUGGAAAAUUUUGGCCCCCCAAGCCAAAGUUCUCGCCCGCAGCCUCCCAGGAGGCGAAAAAAAUGCCUCCUGGGAAAGCAAACGGCUGA